AUUGAACGCUGGCGGCAGGCUUAACACAUGCAAGUCGAGCGGUAGCACAAGAGAGCUUGCUCUCUGGGUGACGAGCGGCGGACGGGUGAGUAAUGUCUGGGAAACUGCCUGAUGGAGGGGGAUAACUACUGGAAACGGUAGCUAAUACCGCAUAACGUCGCAAGACCAAAGAGGGGGACCUUCGGGCCUCUUGCCAUCAGAUGUGCCCAUAUGGGAUUAGCUAGUAGGUGGGGUAAUGGCUCACCUAGGCGACGAUCCCUAGCUGGUCUGAGAGGAUGACCAGCCACACUGGAACUGAGACACGGUCCAGACUCCUACGGGAGGCAGCAGUGGGGAAUAUUGCACAAUGGGCGCAAGCCUGAUGCAGCCAUGCCGCGUGUGUGAAGAAGGCCUUCGGGUUGUAAAGCACUUUCAGCGAGGAGGAAGGUGGUGAACUUAAUACGUUCAUCAAUUGACGUUACUCGCAGAAGAAGCACCGGCUAACUCCGUG
This 490-nucleotide ribosomal RNA is filed under the name uncultured bacterium. Its description in RNAcentral is "partial 16S ribosomal RNA". It matches the Rfam family "Bacterial small subunit ribosomal RNA", at positions 30 to 507 of the family's 1533-position model. The record is from RNAcentral.